AGUGAACGCUGGCGGUAGGCCUAACACAUGCAAGUCGAACGGCAGCACAGUAAGAGCUUGCUCUUACGGGUGGCGAGUGGCGGACGGGUGAGGAAUACAUCGGAAUCUACUUUUUCGUGGGGGAUAACGUAGGGAAACUUACGCUAAUACCGCAUACGACCUACGGGUGAAAGCAGGGGAUCUUCGGACCUUGCGCGAUUGAAUGAGUCGAUGUCGGAUUAGCUAGUUGGCGGGGUAAAGGCCCACCAAGGCGACGAUCCGUAGCUGGUCUGAGAGGAUGAUCAGCCACACUGGAACUGAGACACGGUCCAGACUCCUACGGGAGGCAGCAGUGGGGAAUAUUGGACAAUGGGCGCAAGCCUGAUCCAGCCAUACCGCGUGGGUGAUGAAGGCGUUCGGGUUGUAAAGCCCUUUUGUUGGGAGAGAAAAGCAGCAGGUUAAUACCCCGCUGUUCUGACGGUACCCAAAGAAUAAGCACCGGCUAACUUCGUG
RNAcentral lists this ribosomal RNA (492 nucleotides) under uncultured bacterium. RNAcentral's name for it is "partial 16S ribosomal RNA". It matches the Rfam family "Bacterial small subunit ribosomal RNA", at positions 29 to 507 of the family's 1533-position model. The record is from RNAcentral.